GUGGAUUAGAUACCCCGGUAGUCCACGCCCUAAACGAUGCGAACUGGAUGUUGGUCUCAACUCGGAGAUCAGUGUCGAAGCUAACGCGUUAAGUUCGCCGCCUGGGGAGUACGGUCGCAAGACUGAAACUCAAAGGAAUUGACGGGGGCCCGCACAAGCGGUGGAGUAUGUGGUUUAAUUCGAUGCAACGCGAAGAACCUUACCUGGCCUUGACAUGUCCGGAAUCCAGCAGAGAUGCAGGAGUGCCUUCGGGAAUCGGAACACAGGUGCUGCACGGCCGUCACCAACU
RNAcentral lists this ribosomal RNA (289 nucleotides) under uncultured bacterium. RNAcentral's name for it is "partial 16S ribosomal RNA". It matches the Rfam family "Bacterial small subunit ribosomal RNA", at positions 773 to 1060 of the family's 1533-position model. The record is from RNAcentral.